GUGGGGAAUCUUGCGCAAUGGGCGAAAGCCUGACGCAGCCAUGCCGCGUGGAUGAUGAAGGUCUUAGGAUUGUAAAAUACUUUCACCGGUGAAGAUAAUGACUGUAGCCGGAGAAGAAGCCCCGGCUAACUUCGUGCCAGCAGCCGCGGUAAUACGUAGGGGGUUAGCGUUGCUCGGAAUUACUGGGCGUAAAUGGAGCGUAGGCGGACAUUUACGUCAGGGGUGAAAUGCCGAGGCUCAACCUCGGAACUGACUUUGAUACUGGGUGUCUUGAGUGUGAGAGCGGUGAGUGGAACUCCGAGUGUAGAGGUGAAAUUCGUAGAUAUUCGGAAGAACACCAGUGGCGAAGGCGACUCACUGGCUCAUUACUGACGCUGAGGCUCGAAAGCGUGGGGAGCAAACAGGAUUAGAAACCCUAGUAGUCC
Molecule: ribosomal RNA, 425 nt
Filed under: uncultured bacterium
Lineage: Bacteria
Description: partial 16S ribosomal RNA
Rfam family: Bacterial small subunit ribosomal RNA
Source: RNAcentral